AAACAAAUGCAAAAUGAAAAAAAAAAGGAAAAUCGAAAAAAAUAUGUUAAAGGUUGCGUGUCAGGCAGCACUAGUGAAGCCUUCCUGACAGGCGGCACCGAUGCCAGCCCUGACUCCUCCCAUGGCUACUAUUGCUACGUGGUGAUGGGAUGAGACCCUUAAGGGUCUCGUGAAUUUAGGGUUUGAAAGACCUUAUAACCAUAGUCCCCCAAAAUGAAAAAAAUAAAUUCGAAAGAGAAGAGAAUGAGAAGGAAAAAAAAAGAAAGAAAAAUAGAAGAUUAGCAUAAUAAAGAAAAGAAGAAGGAAAAGAUAAAAGAGAAGGGAAGGAGAACUAAAAAAAAAAAAGAUUUCGUUAGGGAUUUGGGGUUUGAAGAAAAGGGUUUUGUUAGAGUUUAGGGUUUGAAUAAAAAAAGAUUAAACGAUUUUGAUCAUGGUUUGAAAAAAAGAGGGAUUAGAGGGCUUUGUUUAGGGUUUAAAAAAGGAUUAGAGGGUUUUGUUUAGG
This 502-nucleotide long non-coding RNA is filed under the name Gossypium raimondii (Peruvian cotton). RNAcentral's name for it is "long non-coding RNA (GRAI_LNC008077)". Lineage: Eukaryota; Viridiplantae; Streptophyta; Magnoliopsida; Malvales; Malvaceae. The record is from RNAcentral.